Molecule: long non-coding RNA, 837 nt
Filed under: Citrus maxima (pomelo)
Lineage: Eukaryota; Viridiplantae; Streptophyta; Magnoliopsida; Sapindales; Rutaceae
Description: long non-coding RNA (CMAX_LNC002038)
Source: RNAcentral
AUCUGUCUACGAGGAAAGGAUGCAUCUUCAUUUGGAAGUAAUUUCUUCUUCAUUAUUUUCACUUCGUAUCUGGUGUGCUGUUGCAUGAUGAGACAAAGCGUUUCUCUAAGUACAAACAUCGUCGCCCUUUUUAUCUAAUUGCCCGUACUGAUAAUGUUCCAUCUUUCUUGAUAUGGAAGUACUUUAUGCCCAUAUUAAAAGUCUCCUGUCCUGUUUUCAUUUAUACAAAGGCUUACCCUGUCACCCAUUUUUUGUCGCAUUCCUUUAGUCUCUAGCAUAUCUUUCCACCAAAACUGGGAGUAAAGAUUCAUGAUUCCCCCAAAGUAUGUUUGAGAAGGAUCUUUCCCUUGCUCAAGACUAGUAUGAUCAAGGAAUUACUAAGGAAACCAAAUUAUUCUCCUUCCCUCUCUAGAGUAUGAUCAACCGUGUUUACCUCGAAGAAGGCCACAAUAAAUAAAGUAAUCUCCUUUAGCCAAGUUGGCAUUAGGAGAAUUUUGUUGUGUCCAUUCCUUUGAGCUUAAUAUCUAUGUUGGCUAACGUGGUAGCUAACACAAUGCCCAAGUUUUCUAAGUACAAUACAAUUUCCUUUCCUUUAAUAAUGAGAUUGGAAUAAUUAUUUCGGACUAUUGUUCUUCUUCUUGUCAUGAGGAGAAUAAUUCUCAAAUAAAUUUGCCUUGGAAUUGAAAUACUUCUUUAUAUGGAAAAACAAUGUUCACAUAACAAUGAAAAUCUCUUAAUACCAUUUUCAGUCGAAAGGAUGUGUUCUUUGGGUGGGUGACACUUUUCUUUAUAGAAAUCACACAACACGAUAAAUAAUCGCGUCUAUUCAUGUUGGAC